RNAcentral lists this transfer RNA (73 nucleotides) under Trichonephila inaurata madagascariensis. Its description in RNAcentral is "tRNA-Thr". The record is from RNAcentral. Lineage: Eukaryota; Metazoa; Arthropoda; Arachnida; Araneae; Nephilidae.
GCCUGACCAGUAUGGUGGAUAUGACUCUCGGAUUGUAACCGAGCGGAUUCGGGUUCGAAUCCCGAGUAAGGGA